RNAcentral lists this ribosomal RNA (1136 nucleotides) under uncultured bacterium. Its description in RNAcentral is "bacterial SSU rRNA". It matches the Rfam family "Bacterial small subunit ribosomal RNA", at positions 37 to 1165 of the family's 1533-position model. The record is from RNAcentral.
UAGCUACAGGCUUAACACAUGCAAGUCGAGGGGAAACGACAUCGAAAGCUUGCUUUUGAUGGGCGUCGACCGGCGCACGGGUGAGUAACGCGUAUCCAACCUGCCCACCACUUGGGGAUAACCUUGCGAAAGUAAGACUAAUACCCAAUGACGUCUCUAGAAGACAUCUGAAAGAGAUUAAAGAUUUAUCGGUGAUGGAUGUGGAUGCGUCUGAUUAGCUUGUUGGCGGGGUAACGGCCCACCAAGGCGACGAUCAGUAGGGGUUCUGAGAGGAAGGUCCCCCACAUUGGAACUGAGACACGGUCCAAACUCCUACGGGAGGCAGCAGUGAGGAAUAUUGGUCAAUGGACGAGAGUCUGAACCAGCCAAGUAGCGUGCAGGAUGACGGCCCUAUGGGUUGUAAACUGCUUUUAUAAGGGAAUAAAGUGAGUCUCGUGAGACUUUUUGCAUGUACCUUAUGAAUAAGGACCGGCUAAUUCCGUGCCAGCAGCCGCGGUAAUACGGAAGGUCCGGGCGUUAUCCGGAUUUAUUGGGUUUAAAGGGAGCGUAGGCCGGAGAUUAAGCGUGUUGUGAAAUGUAGACGCUCAACGUCUGCACUGCAGCGCGAACUGGUUUCCUUGAGUACGCACAAAGUGGGCGGAAUUCGUGGUGUAGCGGUGAAAUGCUUAGAUAUCACGAAGAACUCCGAUUGCGAAGGCAGCUCACUGGAGCGCAACUGACGCUGAAGCUCGAAAGUGCGGGUAUCGAACAGGAUUAGAUACCCUGGUAGUCCGCACGGUAAACGAUGGAUGCCCGCUGUUGGUCUGAAUAGGUCAGCGGCCAAGCGAAAGCAUUAAGCAUCCCACCUGGGGAGUACGCCGGCAACGGUGAAACUCAAAGGAAUUGACGGGGGCCCGCACAAGCGGAGGAACAUGUGGUUUAAUUCGAUGAUACGCGAGGAACCUUACCCGGGCUUGAAUUGCAGAGGAAGGAUUUGGAGACAAUGACGCCCUUCGGGGCCUCUGUGAAGGUGCUGCAUGGUUGUCGUCAGCUCGUGCCGUGAGGUGUCGGCUUAAGUGCCAUAACGAGCGCAACCCCUCUCCUUAGUUGCCAUCAGGUCAAGCUGGGCACUCUGGGGACACUGCCACCGUAAGGUG